GAUUAACGCUGGCGGCGUGCAUGAAACAUGCAAGUCGAGCGCGGUACGUGGCUUCGGUCACGUAUCUAGCGGCGCACGGGUGAGUAACACGUGGGCAACCUACCUUCGAGUUUCGGGAUAGCCCUGGGAAACCAGGAUUAAUACCGGGAUGUGGUCACAACGGGACAUCCCGAUGUGAAAAAGGCGCAAGCCGCUCGAUGACGGGCUCGCGGCCUAUUAGCUUGUUGGU
RNAcentral lists this ribosomal RNA (229 nucleotides) under uncultured bacterium. RNAcentral's name for it is "partial 16S ribosomal RNA". It matches the Rfam family "Bacterial small subunit ribosomal RNA", at positions 28 to 253 of the family's 1533-position model. The record is from RNAcentral.